UGGAAACGACUGCUAAGACUGGAUAGGAGACAAGAAGGCAUCUUCUUGUUUUUAAAAGACCUAGCAAUAGGUAUGCUUAGGGAGGAGCUUGCGUCACAUUAGUUAGUUGGUGGGGUAAAGGCCUACCAAGACUAUGAUGUGUAGCCGGGCUGAGAGGUUGAACGGCCACAUUGGGACUGAGACACGGCCCAAACUCCUACGGGAGGCAGCAGUAGGGAAUUUUCGGCAAUGGAGGAAACUCUGACCGAGCAACGCCGCGUGAACGAUGAAGUAUUUCGGUACGUAAAGUUCUUUUAUUAGGGAAGAAUAAAUGAUGGAAAAAUCAUUCUGACGGUACCUAAUGAAUAAGCCCCGGCUAACUAUGUGCCAGCAGCCGCGGUAAUACAUAGGGGGCAAGCGUUAUCCGGAAUUAUUGGGCGUAAAGGGUGCGUAGGCGGUUAAAUAAGUUUGUGGUCUAAGUGCAAUGCUCAACAUUGUGAUGCUAUAAAAACUGUUUAGCUAGAGUAAGAUAGAGGCAAGUGGAAUUCCAUGUGUAGUGGUAAAAUGCGUAAAUAUAUGGAGGAACACCAGUAGCGAAGGCGGCUUGCUGGGUCUUUACUGACGCUGAGGCACGAAAGCGUGGGGAGCAAACAGGAUUAGAUACCCUGGUAGUCCACGCCGUAAACGAUGAGUACUAAACGUUGGUUAAAACCAGUGUUGAAGUUAACACAUUAAGUACUCCGCCUGAGUAGUACGUACGCAAGUAUGAAACUUAAAGGAAUUGACGGGACUCCGCACAAGCGGUGGAUCAUGUUGUUUAAUUCGAAGGUACCCGAAAAACCUCACCAGGUCUUGACAUGCUUCUGCAAAGCUGUAGAAACACAGUGGAGGUUAUCAGUUGCACAGGUGGUGCAUGGUUGUCGUCAGCUCGUGUCGUGAGAUGUUGGGUUAAGUCCCGCAACGAGCGCAACCCUUAUUGUUAGUUACCAGCACGUAAUGGUGGGGACUUUAGCAAGACUGCCAGUGAUAAAUUGGAGGAAGGUGGGGACGACGUCAAAUCAUCAUGCCCCUUAUGACCUGGGCUACAAACGUGAUACAAUGGCUGUUACAAAGGGUAGCUGAAGCGCAAGUUUUUGGCGAAUCUCAAAAAAACAGUCUCAGUUCGGAUUGAAGUCUGCAACUCGACUUCAUGAAGUUGGAAUCGCUAGUAAUCGCGAAUCAGCAUGUCGCGGUGAAUACGUUCUCGGGGUUUGUACACACCGCCCGUCAAAC
Molecule: ribosomal RNA, 1251 nt
Filed under: Paulownia witches'-broom phytoplasma
Lineage: Bacteria; Bacillati; Mycoplasmatota; Mollicutes; Acholeplasmatales; Acholeplasmataceae
Description: bacterial SSU rRNA
Rfam family: Bacterial small subunit ribosomal RNA
Source: RNAcentral